RNAcentral lists this ribosomal RNA (991 nucleotides) under uncultured bacterium. Its description in RNAcentral is "bacterial SSU rRNA". It matches the Rfam family "Bacterial small subunit ribosomal RNA", at positions 8 to 1014 of the family's 1533-position model. The record is from RNAcentral.
AGAGUUUGAUCAUGGCUCAUAAUCGAGCUGGCGGCGUGCCUAACACAUGCAGGUCGAAGGAGAAAGUGGGGGCAACUCCAUGAGUAAAGUGGCAGACGGGUGAGUAACACGUGAACAACCUACCCUCAAGUGUGGGAUAACACCGCGAAAGCGGUGCUAAUACCGCAUAACAUCUUCGGGUCGCAUGAUCUGGAGAUCAAAAGCGCACGUUGCUUGAGGAGGGGUUCGCGCCUGAUUAGCUAGUUGGUGAGGUAACGGCCCACCAAGGCAACGAUCAAUAGCCGGCCUGAGAGGGCGAACGGCCACACUGGAACUGAGACACGGUCCAGACUCCUACGGGAGGCAGCAGUGGGGAAUUUUGCGCACUGGGCGAAAGCCUGACGCAGCAACGCCGCGUGGAGGAUGAAGGCCUUCGGGUCGUAAACUCCUGUCAGUGGGGACGAAUGCUUCGCAAGAAGUUUGACUGUACCCGCUGAGGAAGCCACGGCUAACUCCGUGCCAGCAGCCGCGGUAAUACGGAGGUGGCAAGCGUUGUUCGGAAUUACUGGGCGUAAAGGGCGCGUAGGCGGCUUUGCAAGUCAGAUGUGAAAGCCCCGGGCUUAACUCGGGAAUUGCAUCUGAAACUGCUUAGCUUGAGUCCUGGAGGGGAUAGUGGAAUUCCCAGUGUAGCGGUGAAAUGCGUAGAUAUUGGGAGGAACACCUGCGGCGAAGGCGGCUAUCUGGACAGUGACUGACGCUGAGGCGCGAAAGCUAGGGGAGCGAACGGCAUUAGAUACCCCGGUAGUCCUAGCUGUAAACGAUGGGCACUUGGUGUUGGGGGGUAUUGAGUCCCUCGUGCCGGAGUUAACACGUUAAGUGCCCGCCUGGGGAGUACGGUCGCAGACUGAAACUCAAGGAAAUUGACCGGGCCCGCACAGCGUGGAGCAUGUGUCAAUUCACGCAACGCGAGACUUACCGGGCUGGACUGUACUGCUACCGUGAACAUGGAAUC